AUUAAAAGAAAAUGAAGAAAAGAAUAAUAGAAUAGAUAAAAAAUUUAUAGAAAAAGAAAUAACCAGAAUAGGGAAAAAACAUAUUGAAAGGAAAAAUAUAAUAAUAGAAACAGGAAGCAUGGAUGAUGAGUUUAGAAAAAUAUAUUACCUAAAAUAUUAGAAGAAGAGGAAUCUAGAGAAAAAAUGUUAGGUAAACAGAAAAUUGAAGAAAAUCAAGACAAAUAAAAUGAAUGAAGAAUUAGAUCUACUUAUAAAUAAUUUUGAUCAUU
This 269-nucleotide long non-coding RNA is filed under the name Olea europaea (common olive). RNAcentral's name for it is "long non-coding RNA (OEUR_LNC002830)". Lineage: Eukaryota; Viridiplantae; Streptophyta; Magnoliopsida; Lamiales; Oleaceae. The record is from RNAcentral.